UGACGAGGGUGCGAGCGUUGUUCGGAAUCACUGGGCAUAAAGCGCACGUAGGCGGUGGCGUAAGUCAAGGUGUGAAAUCCCUCGGCCCUAACCGAGGAACCGCGCCUGAUACUGCGUUGCUUGAGGACCAGGAGGGGUGCACGGAAUUUCCGGUGGAGCGGUGAAAUGCGUUGAUAUCGGAAGGAACUCCGGCGGCGAAAGCGGUGCACUGGCUGGUUUCUGACUGC
RNAcentral lists this ribosomal RNA (227 nucleotides) under uncultured bacterium. Its description in RNAcentral is "partial 16S ribosomal RNA". It matches the Rfam family "Bacterial small subunit ribosomal RNA", at positions 524 to 746 of the family's 1533-position model. The record is from RNAcentral.